This 589-nucleotide ribosomal RNA is filed under the name uncultured bacterium. Its description in RNAcentral is "partial 16S ribosomal RNA". It matches the Rfam family "Bacterial small subunit ribosomal RNA", at positions 355 to 1375 of the family's 1533-position model. The record is from RNAcentral.
UGGGGAAUUUUGGACAAUGGGCGAAAGCCUGAUCCAGCAAUGCCGCGUGUGUGAAGAAGGCCUUCGGGUUGUAAAGCACUUUUGUCCGGAAAGAAAUCCUUGGCUCUAAUACAGUCGGGGGAUGACGGUACCGGAAGAAUAAGCACCGGCUAACUACGUGCCAGCAGCCGCGGUAAUACGUAGGGUGCAAGCGUUAAUCGGAAUUACUGGGCGUAAAGCGUGCGCAGGCGGUUUGCUAAGACCGAUGUGAAAUCCCCGGGCUCAACCUGGGAACUGCAUUGGUGACUGGCAGGCUAGAGUAUGGCAGAGGGGGGUAGAAUUCCACGUGUAGCAGUGAAAUGCGUAGAGAUGUGGAGGAAUACCGAUGGCGAAGGCAGCCCCUGGGCCAAUACUGACGCUCAUGCACGAAAAGCGUGGGGAGCAAAACAGGAUUAGAUACCCUGGUAGUCCACGCCCUAAAACGAUGUCAACUAGUUGUUGGGGAUUCAUUUCCUUAGUAACGUAGCUAAACGCGUGAAGUUGACCGCCUGGGGAGUACGGUCGCAAGAUUAAAAACUUAAAUGAAUUGACGGGGUCAUAGCUGUUUCCU